AGUGCGGCCAUCUUCCCUCCGUGUUCUGCAGGAAGCAAGUCUGCGCUUAAGCCUGAAGUUCCACAGAGUCGCUUAAUGGGUAGAAAAUGCUGCAGCGCAGAGGUGGUAGAUGUUAGCAUCCAAAAGCAAGAAGAGCCAUGAACACUUGGACUCAAGGAGUUUGGCAUGCCUACCCAGCGGCUGCUAAGAUCUGCUAAGGGAAGUGGAAAAGAAGGUUUGAAGAAAGGAUACCUUCUCAGUAUGAGUCCUUUGGGGAUUUGGUUAGGCCAGUCUGCAAUACUUGCUGGGAGCUACUGUUGGCAAUAAGAAGACUACCUUGGCUCUCCACAUUCCUGCAGACUUACUCAAUGAUUCGGGGGAAAUCUCACUGUUGGAAAAUGCUCUCCUGAACAGGAGGCCAUCCUAGGCUUCUGGACCAAACCUAGACUGCCGGGAACAAAGGUAGCUGCAGCCCUGCCUCUUACCUGGCCAUAGUAUCGAAUUUAUUUCCUCACCUGUCAGCCAGGAACGGUAACAGGGUAAGAGACAGGGAAGAGAGGAAGCUCGCAAUGCACAAAGGGAACUCACCCCUUGGUGGUGCGUGUCUAUAGCCCAUCUACUCGGGAACCCAAGGCAAGAGGAUGGAGUGUUCAAGGUCAGCUGCUGAUGCAGAGUUAGAUCCUGCUACAAAGUAAAAGAUCCUUGUGUUGGACACCACGUAACAACCAGAUUUUAGGCAGAAGUAACAGACUUGAGAUCACCAAAUUAUAGACAGAAGCGACAGAUUGAAGACUAGAUGGCUUACUCAAAGAGCGUUUCCCUAAGAGAGCGCUGAGAAAACUGU
Peromyscus eremicus (cactus mouse) is the source of this 823-nucleotide long non-coding RNA. RefSeq lists it as uncharacterized. The transcript has 4 exons. The record is from RefSeq and is a predicted model, not a curated record. NCBI's taxonomy places the organism in Eukaryota, Metazoa, Chordata, Mammalia, Rodentia, Cricetidae.